Molecule: long non-coding RNA, 431 nt
Filed under: Mus pahari (shrew mouse)
Lineage: Eukaryota; Metazoa; Chordata; Mammalia; Rodentia; Muridae
Description: predicted gene, 38353 (MGP_PahariEiJ_G0005721.1)
Source: RNAcentral
GAGUGGCCAGUUGCCGGCUGCCGAGAAUGAAGCUCAGAGCAUCUGGGCUUAAGCCGGUUCAGCUUCAGAGGUGGGUUUCGGAAGUCUGUGGCGGACCACGGCAGCAAGUCGUCACUCACCGUACAAGCCUUUCCAUUUCUGAGAAUAUAAAAAACUUAAGCAUGCGGCGUUCGGAGUGUAGAUUGCUUUGUAGUAUUCCAAAGCAGCGCUGAUCGUGGGCAGAGGAGCAGAUAUGUGCAACAGAAACUACUCACUGGAACUCUUCUGGUAAAGAAGCCAGAAUUAUAAAAUGGAAAAAAGAAUCUUCAACAGAUUACCAUCUGGCCUAACUGGAUGUCUGCAUGUACAAGAAUGCAAAUAGUGCCUUACCCAUCACCCUGCACAAAACUCUAGUCUAAGUGGAUUGAAGAUCUCAGCAUAAAAUCAGAUAC